Molecule: ribosomal RNA, 450 nt
Filed under: uncultured bacterium
Lineage: Bacteria
Description: SSU rRNA
Rfam family: Bacterial small subunit ribosomal RNA
Source: RNAcentral
AGAACGAACGCUGGCGGCAUGCCUAACACAUGCAAGUCGAACGAGACCUUCGGGUCUAGUGGCGCACGGGUGCGUAACGCGUGGGAAUCUGCCCAAAGGUUCGGAAUAACUCAGGGAAACUUGAGCUAAAUACCGGAUGAUGUCGCAAGACCAAAGAUUUAUUGCCUUUGGAUGAGCCCGCGUAGGAUUAGCUUGUUGGUGAGGUAAAGGCUCACCAAGGCUACGAUCCUUAGCUGGUCUGAGAGGAUGAUCAGCCACACUGGGACUGAGACACGGCCCAGACUCCUACGGGAGGCAGCAGUGGGGAAUAUUGCACAAUGGGCGCAAGCCUGAUGCAGCGACGCCGCGUGAGGGAUGACGGCCUUCGGUUGUAAACCUCUUUCAGUAUCGACGAAGCGCAAGUGACGGUAGGUACAGAAGAAGGACCGGCAACUACGCGCCAGCAGCCGC